AAGCACGGACCAAGGAGUCUAACAUGUGAGCGAGCGAUUGAGUUUGUCGAAUCUCAGACGCGCAAUGAAAGUGAAGUGUCGUCUGACGGCACGAGCGGAGAUCCGUCGUCACUCGUGGCGGCGGCGCAUCCGCGGGCCACGCCAUCGGCUGGCUUGCUUUUCGGAGCACUGYUGAGGCGUGGACCUAGAGCCCACACGUUGGGACCCGAAAGAUGGUGAACUAUGCCUGGCCAGGAUGAAGCCAGAGGAAACUCUGGUGGAGGUCCGCCGCGAUUCUGACGUGCAAAUCGAUCGUCUGAGCUGGGUAUAGGGGCGAAAGACCAAUCGAACCAUCUAGUAGCUGGUUCCGCCCGAAGUUUCCCUCAGGAUAGCUGGCGCUCGUGUGAUACGGAGUUUCAUCCGGUAAAGCGAAUGAUCAGAGGAGCUGGGCUCCUUGCGAGCUCAACCUAUUCUCAAACUUUCAAUGGGUGAGACGUCUCGCUGGCUUCACUGCAGCGACGACUCUGAAUCCGAGUGCCCAGUGGGCCACUUUUGGUAAGCAGAACUGGCGAUGCGGGAUGAACCGCAUGUCGAGUUAAGGUGCCUAAGCGGACGCAAAUCAGAUACCAUGAAAGGUGUUGAUUGCUCACGACAGCAGGACGGUGGCCAUGGAAGUCGGCAUCCGCUAAGGAGUGUGUAACAACUCACCUGCCGAAGCAAUCAGCCCUGAAAAUGGAUGGCGCUAAAGCGUUCCACCGAUACUCGACCGUCGUCGGCAGGCGACGUGCUCAUGCCACGUCUCAAGCCACGACGAGUAGGGCGGCGCGGUGGUGAGCGUUGAAGGCGUAGCCGUGAGGCUAGCUGGAGCCGCCAUCGGUGCAGAUCUUGGUGGUAGUAGCAAAUACACAAGCAAGAUCCUUGUGGACCGAUGUGGAGAAGGGUUCCGCGCGAACAGUACUUGGACGUGGGUGAGUCGGCCCUAAGCCAACGGGUAAUUCCCGCAUCCCGUGUUCACGCACAGACUAUCUGAAUAACAUGGGUUGAU
RNAcentral lists this ribosomal RNA (1024 nucleotides) under Stomatolepas sp. 1 MPL-2014. Its description in RNAcentral is "eukaryotic LSU rRNA". It matches the Rfam family "Eukaryotic large subunit ribosomal RNA", at positions 657 to 1593 of the family's 3401-position model. The record is from RNAcentral. Lineage: Eukaryota; Metazoa; Arthropoda; Thecostraca; Balanomorpha; Coronulidae.